Nerophis lumbriciformis (worm pipefish) is the source of this 165-nucleotide non-coding RNA. The record is from RefSeq and is a predicted model, not a curated record. Lineage: Eukaryota; Metazoa; Chordata; Actinopteri; Syngnathiformes; Syngnathidae.
AUACUUACCUGGCAGGGAAGAUACCAUGGUCUAGAUGGUGGAUCUUCAUAACUGAGGCUUAACCACUGCAUUCCCGGUUGAACUAAUGUUGACAAGUUGUCCAAAUGCGGGAAUCUUUACUGUGUAAUUUCUAGUAGUAGAGGUCUGCGCUUGCGCUCUCCCCUG